GCGACCGGCGCACGGGUGCGUAACGCGUAUGCACCUACCCAUAACAGGGGGAUAACACUGAGAAAUUGGUACUAAUACCCCAUAACCCGGCAUCGGGAAAACUCCGGUGGUUAUGGAUGGGCAUGCGUUGUAUUAGCUGGUUGGUGAGGUAACGGCUCACCAAGGCAACGAUACAUAGGGGGACUGAGAGGUUAACCCCCACAUUGGUACUGAGACACGAACCAAACUUAUACGGGAGGCAGCAGUGAGGAAUAUUGGUCAAUGGACGCAAGUCUGAACCAGCCAUGCCGCGUGCAGGAAGACGGCUUAUGAGUUGUAAACUGCUUUUGUACGAGGGUAACGCUCUUACGUGUAAGAGCCUGAAAGUAUCGUACGAAUAAGGAUCGGCUAACUCCGUGCCAGCAGCCGCGGUAAUACGGAGGAUCCAAGCGUUAUCCGGAUUUAUUGGGUUUAAAGGGUGCGUAGGCGGUUUGAUAAGUUAGAGGUGAAAUACCGGUGCUUAACACCGGAACUGCCUCUAAUACUGUUGAACUAGAGAGUAGUUGCGGUAGGCGGAAUGUAUGGUGUAGCGGUGAAAUGCUUAGAGAUCAUACAGAACACCGAUUGCGAAGGCAGCUUACCAAACUAUAUCUGACGUUGAGGCACGAAAGCGUGAGGAGCAAACAGGAUUAGAUACCCUGGUAGUCCACGCAGUAAACGAUGAUAACUCGCUGUCGG
This 717-nucleotide ribosomal RNA is filed under the name uncultured bacterium. RNAcentral describes it as "bacterial SSU rRNA". It matches the Rfam family "Bacterial small subunit ribosomal RNA", at positions 91 to 826 of the family's 1533-position model. The record is from RNAcentral.